UUUGGGAUCAUCCCAGUAUGGUGCGUUUAAUUUUUUAUCGACAUUUGGGAGGAUAAACGGGCAAAACGGCGCGAACGGGGCAUUUAUGGCCAAAUUGGUGUGCUAUAGCCCACGGUUUUGGGGGUAGGCCCGAGGUUCGGGCGUGCUGUGGGCAGAAAAUCGAUCAGGGCGUCCCAAGGAGGUUGGGGAUCGUCCCAAUAUGGCCUGUUUAAUUAUUCGUGGCCAUUUGGAUGGACAAACGGGCGCAACGGCGCGAACGAGGCAAUUUUAGGCCAAAUCGGUGUGCUAUAACCCACAGUUUUGG
This 304-nucleotide long non-coding RNA is filed under the name Capsicum annuum. Its description in RNAcentral is "long non-coding RNA (CANN_LNC012269)". Lineage: Eukaryota; Viridiplantae; Streptophyta; Magnoliopsida; Solanales; Solanaceae. The record is from RNAcentral.